This is an RNA transcript of Phalaenopsis equestris, 1830 nucleotides long. It is a transcript of the gene named gamma-glutamyltranspeptidase 3-like, with no coding region annotated. Lineage: Eukaryota; Viridiplantae; Streptophyta; Magnoliopsida; Asparagales; Orchidaceae. The record is from RefSeq and is a predicted model, not a curated record. The transcript is spliced from 3 exons.
UAAAAAAUUGAUUAGUUCAUGAGGAGAUAGGAGUAUACGAGGAGCCGAUAUGAUCAUUGUGCAUACUUUAAGAAGUUGGCAAACAACAAGUUUGUUUACUUGCUUCUAUAUGUAGAUGAUAUGUUGAUUAUAUUUGCUAAUCAGAUUGAGUUUGAUAAGAUGAAGAAUCAACUGUCCAAACAUUUCAAAUGAAGGAGUUCGGUGAAGCUCGUAGAAUUCUUGGCAUGGAGAUUCUCAGGGACAUGACAGCUGGAAAUGUUUGACUUUCAGAAGGAGCUUAUGUUCAAAAGGUAUUGAAUAAAUUUGGAGUUGAUGACUCGAGUAAGGCGGUUAGUCUACCAAUUACAUCUCACUUUUAGUUAAAUUUGGAUCAGUGUUCUAAAGAUGAUAAAAAAAAAAAGAUAUACGAUCAGUUAUUUAUGUUAAUGAAAUGGGCAGUUUGAUGCAUGUCAUGGUUUGUACUAAAUCAGGCAUUAUACAAGAAGUUGGUGUUGUGAGCAGGUUCAUGCAUGAUCAAGAAAGGAAACACUUACUGAUUGUGAAGAGUAUUUUGAGGUAUCUGAAGUGUACAAUUGAUGUUGGUUCAAUAUUUGAUAGACAAUCACCUAUUACAGAUUUGUGUGUAGACUACACCGACAAGUGUUAUACAUAGACGAAUAUCUAUGAUUGAUUAUUUAUUCACAUUUGCAGGAGGACUAGUCAAUUGGAGGUUGUUUUUUCAACUUAAUAUUGCUUUGUCCACUACGGAGGCGUAGUACAUAACGAUUACGGAGAUGAUGAAGGAAUCGAUAUUGAUGUAAGGCUUAUUGAAUGCCCUGAGAGUUGUUCAAGAGUCUAUGUCAACGUUUUGUGACAUUCAGAGUAUAAUAUUUUUUGUCAUAAAUUCAAUUCAUCGUGCUCACAUCUAAGACAAUAAUGUAAGGUACUGCUUUAUUUAGGAUUUAAUUGAUGACGACAAUAUUCUGUAAAAUUAAAUAGAUACAAAGAAGAAUCCAACUGACAUGCUCACGAAGUACUACCAGUCAAAAAGUUCACAUACUGCAAAUGUUUGGUGAACAUCUGAGACCAGGACCGAUUGCUCACUCGGGCAUUUUGAAGAACUACGCGAGGCUUGAGCCCUUUGGGAGUGUGGGUAUAUGCAGACAACCAUCUUGGUGCAGCCGAUUCGGAGUUUGAAGCUCAUUUGGUCAUCUCUUAUCUAGAAGGAUUUAAGGUUCAUGAUAGUGACGGCGAGAAGUGGAGUUGUAAACCCAAGCCAUUUUUUCUUUCUCACCACUCGGUGCUCGUGGAAUCUCUCUCCCCGCGGACGAAGACAAAUCAACUUAACGCCGAAACAUCUCAUCCCAAACGUUGUGCUGUAUGAGAACUGGACGGCCAUUGAUGAUGAACAGAUACAAGUCUCCCUCGAAGCGCAGACAUUCUUGAAGCAAAGAGGUCACCAACUCCGCAACAUCUCCGGGGGCUCGGUCGCCCAAUUUGUCGUCCAUAACCUUCAAAAUCCAGUUCCGGUUGUCGAAGAAAGAAAAGAUGGGAUCUUUUAUGGUAAGCUCACUGCUGUCAGUGAUCCUAGAAAAGAUGGAGGACCUGCAGGGAUUUGAGACUCCCAUUUCUCCACUGUCUGGUGUCCCAGCAUUCACUAGCAAUGAAGAAGGUAUGCUUCAGACAUUAAAGAUGUUUUGUGCAAAUAUAUACAUCUAAUGUGUGUGUCUGUGUGAUAUUUGUAAUCCAAAAAUCGGUGUUAGUGUAACAUACUUGUGCCUGUUUCAGUGUAAAUUCUGUAUUAAAGAAACUUAGACUAUUGUGAUUGAUGAACAGUUGGGCAUCUGAAGG